GCGCAGCAGUCGAGAAUAGUCUACAAUGGACGAAAGUCUGAUAGUGCGACGCCGUGUGUGCGAUUAAUUCCUUCGGGAUGUAAAGUACUUUUCUAUGAGAUAAAAGCUCUUUAGGUUAAUAGCUUAUUGAGACGGAUAUUAUUAUAGGAAUAAGCUCCGGCUAACUCCGUGCCAGCAGCCGCGGUAAUACGGAAGGAGCGAGCGUUGUCCGGAUUUACUAGGCGUAAAGGGCUAGUAGGCGACUAAUUAAGUUAUAUGUUAAAUCCCACGGCUCAACUGUGGUCCUGCAUGUAAUACUGGUUAGAUAGAGUACUGUAGAGGAAGGCAGAAUUCCUGGAGUAGCGGUGGAAUGCGCAGAUAUCAGGAAGAAUACCAAAAGCGAAGGCAGCCUUCUGGGCAGUUACUGACGCUGAAUAGCGAAGGUGUGGGUAGCGAACAGGAUUAGAUACCCCGGUAGU
Molecule: ribosomal RNA, 458 nt
Filed under: uncultured microorganism
Description: bacterial SSU rRNA
Rfam family: Bacterial small subunit ribosomal RNA
Source: RNAcentral